This 440-nucleotide ribosomal RNA is filed under the name uncultured bacterium. RNAcentral describes it as "partial 16S ribosomal RNA". It matches the Rfam family "Bacterial small subunit ribosomal RNA", at positions 338 to 795 of the family's 1533-position model. The record is from RNAcentral.
CCUACGGGAGGCUGCAGUGGGGAAUAUUGCACAAUGGGGGAAACCCUGAUGCAGCGACGCCGCGUGAGUGAAGAAGUAUUUCGGUACGUAAAGCUCUAUCAGCAGGGAAGAAAAUGACGGUACCUGACUAAGAAGCCCCGGCUAACUACGUGCCAGCAGCCGCGGUAAUACGUAGGGGGCAAGCGUUCACCGGAUUUACUGGGUGUAAAGGGAGCGUAGACGGCAGCGCAAGUCUGGAGUGAAAUCCCAUGGCUUAACCAUGGAACUGCUUUGGAAACUGUGCAGCUAGAGUGCAGGAGAGGUAAGCGGAAUUCCUAGUGUAGCGGUGAAAUGCGUAGAUAUUAGGAGGAACACCAGUGGCGAAGGCGGCUUACUGGACUGUAACUGACGUUGAGGCUCGAAAGCGUGGGGAGCAAACAGGAUUAGAUACCCUAGUAGUC